This is a long non-coding RNA of Mauremys reevesii (Reeves's turtle), 322 nucleotides long. RefSeq lists it as uncharacterized. Lineage: Eukaryota; Metazoa; Chordata; Testudines; Geoemydidae. The record is from RefSeq and is a predicted model, not a curated record. The transcript is spliced from 2 exons.
CUCAUGUUACUGCACUGCCUGGACACUGCACACUCAUUCCUGCAUGAAAUAUUCAAGGGAUUAUCUUGUAAUCAACUGUAUAAUCAGACCAGGCAAUGGGUGUGUUUAGCCUUCAACCCUGGGGCUGAAGCAAUGUUCCAUGGAGACAAGUACCUGGAUAUGGUGUUAGCUGAUAACACAGAGCAGUGAUAAAUAAUGCCAUUAGACCAGAUUGUGUUUCACCUGCUGGAGAGGAAUGGUGCUUAGAAGUCUGUAAAAGUUGACAGAGAGAUUACGUGCUUUUAAUUAUUAAGAAGUUAUAUAAAACUCCUCCCCAAAUCCA